Molecule: long non-coding RNA, 3907 nt
Filed under: Homo sapiens (human)
Lineage: Eukaryota; Metazoa; Chordata; Mammalia; Primates; Hominidae
Description: HSALNT0107034
Source: RNAcentral
UUCUCGUAUAAAAGUGUGUAGCACUUCGCUUUCUCUCUCCUGCUCCUUCUGCCAUGAUUGUAACUUUUCUGAAGCCUCCCCAGUCAUGCUUCUUGUACAGUCUGCAGAACGGUCUUGCAACUUGGCUUCAAUCUGCACAGAAGAAUCAGUUUUAAAAGGUCCUUCCUCACCUACAAAAAGAAGUAUUUCUUCUUCAUACAUUGAGCACCACAUCAACAGGGUCUCACUCCAUUGCCUACACUGGAGUGCAGUGGCACGAUCUUGGGUUACUGCACCCUCUGCCUCCUGGGCUCAAGUGAUCCUCCCACUUCAGCCUCCUGAGUAGUUGGAACUACAGGUGAGUAACACCAUGUUUGUCUAAUCUUUGUAGUGUUUGGGGAGACAGGGUCUCCCUAUGCUGUUCGGGCUGGUCUCAAACUCCUGGACUCAAGCUAUCCCUCCCGCCUUGACCUCCCAAAGUGCUGGAAUUAUGGGCAUGAGCCACUGCACCCAGUCCUAUUCUAUAUUUGUUAAUUAAAUACGUUCUUGAGUAUCUUUUAAUUAUAAUUGAAAUUUGUUUUAAAAGUACAAUUAAAAUUAUUUUUGUUUGCUGAGUAAUUUAAAUUUUUUUUAUUCCUUGUUCUCUGAUAUAUGACAAUUGUUCUCAAUUGUCUGAUAAUUCUUGGCUGUUAUUAAGUUACUCACUAAUUUUUUCCUCUAUUCAGGAUCUCUAUUGAGCUGGGUAGAACUUCCUUCCUUGGGAUGGCAGUAAGAACCAAAGCAAGAAAUGAAAGCAACGUGUUUCCACACAUCUAAGAACUCAAAACAUUUCCAAAAGCCACCAUAAUUGGUUUGACCUUAUCCUUGUCCUGGAAUUUUCAGUGAUGUCUUUCUUGUAGAACAGAUUAAGCAGCAUAGCUUCAUUUAAUGUAUUUAUGAUGAUUUCUGACCAUAUUACCAAAAGGCGUAACAGUGGUACCAAGGGAGUUAACAAUUGCAAAGGUGCAUUAUUGUUCUCUUAUUACUUGGUUGGGCUACUAAUUUUUUUUUUUUUUUUUUUUUUUGAGAUGGAGUCUCACUCUGUCACCCAGGCUGGAGUGCAGUGGUGCAAUCUCGGCUCACUGCAAGCUCAGCCUCCAGGGUUCAUGCCAUUCUCCUGCCUCAGCCUCCCAAGUAGCUGGGGCUACAGGCACCCGCCACCACGCCCGGCUAAUUGUUUGUAUUUUUAGUAGAGACGGGGUUUCACCGUGUUAGCCAGGAUGGUCUCAAUCUCCUGACCUCGUGAUCUGCCCUCCUUGGCCUCCCAAAGUGCUGGGAUUACAGGCAUGAGCCACCACGCCUGGCCUGGGCUACUGAUUUUUAAAAAUUAGAAUGUAUUAAAGUAAACACACAAAAUGAAAUGUAGCCAUAUAAAAUAUAGACUUUAAGUUUUGACCAAUGUAUGCACCUUUCUAGUCAUCAACAUGAUCAAUGUUGUGUUUACUGUACAUUCAGUAAGAUAUUUCCAUCACAAUAAAAGUUUUUCUCAUAUCUAUUUGCCAUCAGUUCCCCAACCUCUUGCCUCAGGAAACCAGCAGUCUGCUUUUUGUCACCAUUGAUUCGUUUAUCUUGUACUAGAAAUCAAUGUAGAUGAAAUCAUACAGUAUGUAUUCUCUUUCAUCUGCCUUCUUUUCCUCACAACAUUUUUUAGAUUGAUCCAGGCCAUUGUGGGUAUCAGUAGCUCAUUACUCUUUAUUGCUCAGUAAUAUUUUGUCCUAGGGUUAUACCAAAAUGUGUUUAUCCAUUCACUUAACAAUGGACAUUUAACAUGUUUCCAGUUAAAGGUUAUUAUGAAUAAAGCUGUUAUAAACAUUUGUGGAAAAAUUUUUGUGCCAAGUUAUGUCUUUAUUUUUAGGGUAUAAAUACCUAAAAGGGGAAUUGUUGAAUUGUGUGGUAACUAUAUUUUUAAUUUUGAAAAAAUUUUCCAAACUGUUUUCAGAGGGAAUUAUGUCAUUUUAUAUUAGUAUGACAGUUUCCAUUGCCCCGUGUCUUUACAAACACUUGAUUUUGUCUAUCUCUCUAUUUUUAACCAUCCUGAAUGUUGUGUAAUAGUAUCUUAUUUUGGUUUUCAUUUGUUUAUGCCUGAUUACUAGUGAUGUUGAGCACAGUUUCAUGUUGUCUUUUCAUGUUGCCAUUUCUAUGUACUUUUGUGAAAUAUCUAUUCAAAUAUUGAUUUUUUUUAAAAAAAAUGGGUUAUUUGUCUUUAUAUUAUAGAAUUGUAGAAAUUUUCUAUAUAAUUUGAAAAUCAGUGCUUUGGCUGAUAUACAUAUUGACAAUAUUUUUCCUAGUCUGCAGUUUGACUUCUCAUUUUCUGAAUGAUGUCUUUUGGAGGGAAGAAGUUCUUAGUUUUGAUGAAGUACAUUAUAUUAUUAUUUACAUUAUAGUUUGUGUAUUUUAUUUCCUAUGUAAGAUAUCCUUACCUACCUAAUUUUAUUAAUACUUUCCCUUAUAUUUUCUUCUAGAAGAUGUAUACUUUUAGUUUGUGACUGCAGGUGUAGAAUUUAUUUUGAGUUAUUUCUGUAUGAUGCAAAGUGAAGGUCAAAAUUUAUUUACUUAUUUUCCAAAAAAGAUUAUCCUGCUUUUCUAGCCCCAUUAUUUUAAAAGAUUAUCUUUCUCCUCAAUAAUACAUUGGCUUACUUAUUGAAACAAACUGACCUUACACGUGUAGGUUUAUUUCUGGACACUACUGUCUGUUCUGUUCUACUGAGGUAUAUACCUAUCAUGAUGCAAAUUUCAUGCUUAUACUAAGACUGAAAUGGGGUAGUGAGAAUUCUUCAAUUUUGUUCUUCUUUUUCACAAUGGUUUUGGUCAUUGUCGGUUCUUUGUAUUUUCUAAAUUAUUUUAGAAUCUUCUUGACAAUUUCUGUAAAAAUUAUGUGCUUUGAUUUUGAUCAGCCUUGUAUUGAAACCAUAGAUCAAUUUUGAAGAAUUGCCACCUUAUUGAGGUUUCUAAUCCAUGAGUAUGUCAUAUUUUUCUACACAAUUAGAUAUUGUAUAAUUUGUCCCAGCAGUUUUCUGGGAUAAACAUUUAUGUACAAAUCUUCAUGCCAAGUUAUGUCUUUAUUUCUUUGGGGUAAAUACUUAAGAGUGGAAUAGUUGGAUUGUGUGGUGUGUAUAUGUUUAAUUUUGUAAGACAUUUCCAAAGUGUUUUCAGAGGGAAUUGUGCCAUUUUAUAUUAAUAUGAAAGUUUAUAUUGCUCCAUGUCUUUACAAACACUUGAUUUUGCCCAUCUCUUUAGGGGGAUUACACAUCUUUUUUGAUACAUUUUUAAUAAAUAUAUUAAGCUUUUUGGCACUGCUAGAAAUAUUUUUUAUUUCAUUUUAUUAUUGUGUAUUUCUUGUAUUAGAUAUAAAAUUGAUAUUUAUAUGUUGACCUUGUAUCCUGUGCCCAUUGCUAAAUUCACUUAUUCCAUCUAAUAGAUUUUUGAGAGUCCUUGGAUUUUUAUGCGUAUGUGAUCUCAUAUACGACCACAAAAUAUCUUGACAUUUUAAUCUCUUCCUUUCCAAUAUGUGAAUUUCUUACUUAUUUUAAUCUUUGUCACACUGUUCAGGAGCUCCAGUGGAAUAUUUAAUAUAACUGAUAACAAGGAGUAUCUAUGCUUUCGUUUCUAAUCUUGAGUUGUAGAAGGUCACACUGACUUAACAGCAUUUCAUAACAGUGCAGGUCUUUUGUAAGCACUGUUUUAACAGAUUCAGUAAGUGUUCUUUUUUUUUUUUUCUCUUUUUAAAAUUUUCUGUUUUAUUAAAAACAAUAUAUUUUCAUUAUAUAACUUUAGAAAAUGCAGAAAACUGUGGGUAAGAAUUAAACGUGUGUGUGUAUACUUUUUUAAAAAGUUGGUCGUAAUGUAUAUAUUGUUUUCUUUGAUUUUGUUUAAUGUAUAACCGUUUCCC